GAAGGACCCCGCCCAGCCUUCUCACGCAAAGCUUCAAGUGUUCGGCCCUGCCCCACCGUAACGCGAGGAAGGAAAUCUCGCAAGGCUGGAGUCCUUUUGGCGCCCCUGGCGGAGGCGGUUAGCAGAGGUGUCUCCCCCGCCGGUGGUGGGGCUAAACGCUACUGGCUUCACGGCCACACCUCCGCUGCCUCCGUCUGGUUCAGCGUCUGCUAACUGAGGAGGCAGAUUAGGGGCGCGGAGUCUCUUCCCUUGGGUGCAUAGGUCCCGGUUGGUAGAGGCUUUGAGUCCUCAUCGCCACAGCUGACGGCUGCGAGGGACUAAGAGCAGGAUAUAUCUUUAGAAAUGAGUUGCACAAUUGAGAAGGCACUUGCUGAUGCUAAAACUCUUGUUGAAAGAUUAAGAGAUCACGACGAUGCAGCAGAAACUCUGAUUGAGCAAACCACAGCUCUCAAUAAGCGAGUAGAAGCCACGAAGCAGUAUCAGAAAGAAAUUCAAGAGCUUAAUGAAGUCGCAAGAACAUCGGCCACGGUCCACGUUAGUUAUGGGAAUCCAGCAAGAAAACAGACAAAUCAGAGAAUUGCAACAAGAAAGAAAAGAAUUGCGUACAUCCCUGGAAGAACAUCAGUCGGCCUUGGAACUUACGAUGAGCAAGUAUCGAGAACAAAUGGUUAGAUUGCUAAUGGCUAGCAAAAAAGAUGAUCCGGGAAAAAUAAUGAAGUUAACAAAAGCAGCACUCCAAGGAUACAGGCACAUGUUGACCAGAUAAAUGAAAUAUGGCAGCAGUAAUGAAGAAAGCCAUUGAAAUUGACAAGCAACAGGAUUGCAAGGAACAAGAACUAAUAUUUCAACUUGAACAAGAAAACAAAGGCGUUAGAGAGAUCCUAUAAAUAACUCGAGAAUCACUUUUGAACCUAAGGAAAGAAGAUGUGUCGGAAAGUACUUCUUUGUCAGCAUUAGUGACCAACAGUGACUUGAGUCUGAGGAAGAGCUGAAGAGCUUCUGAGUCUGUGAGCUUCUUACAUGGCUCCCAGUGGUCAAAUAAGUGAAUGAAUGAAUGAACAGAAAAUUCAAUCCAUUAUUUUUUUCUCUUUAAAUAUGUACAGUGUACUGGCUAUGAGAUAGCAACAAAAACGCAUAGUUAAUGGUCAUAGACCUUUUUCCAAAACAUAAUUGGAAAAUAGAAACUGAGCCAUUGCCAACUGGUAAAGAAAUGAAAGGUUUUCACAGUGACUACUAAAUAUAGAACUUUUGGCAGUGCUGCUGGCUUUCUGGGUGAUUAAUUAGGUAAACUUGAAUAUUCCCAAUAAAUAUGUGAGAAUUCAUAAAAUUAUAUCAAUUUAAAAAUAUAAAGUUUUGCCACUGUUUUGUGAAUGGAAGAUUUGCAUGCUAAAUUUCAUCCUUAUUUGGCGUUAAAGUUAACACAAAGUUUAUGUACCAUGAGACUUCAGCUUUAGUGAUUACCUACUUUCACAUUUAUUUAAAUUUUUGUGAAAGAAAAUUCAGUUUUAAAGGCUAUAGGAAUGUGUUAUAUGUACCAUAAACAAAAAAGGUAAUUUUAGCAAUUUACCAUAACUGAUACUUAGCUAACAAUUGUCCAUAACUUGUUUAAGUAUAAGAAAUACCAUUUCAGGAAUGAAAAAGAAGGAAUACUACUUUCUAAGAAAGAAAAUCUUAUAAUAGACAUUUUAGUAGGUUAAACUUCUCCUUUGAAAGAAUAAGUUUUGGUUCGAAGUCAGUAAUGAAGAUGAGAUUUGUUUUUCUCUUCUCUGGCUGAUUUUUAAGGAUACUAUGUAGUUCAUUUAAUUAACAGAAUUGAAGUGUUUGAUAUGGCAAAAUAGGUAUGGUAAUUUCAAAGUGAAUUGGGAAUUCCUCUGGCUCAUAGAACUCUUUUAAAUUAAAAUUUCAAAAAAAAAUUCUGGAUCUGUUUUUAAACUCCAUCUGGUCCUCAUAACCUGUAAGAUUUUUCUUAAAACCUUUCAGCUGAAAGCGGGGGUAGAGGUGGGGUAAUCUGUGGAUUUAGAAGUAUUUGUUUUCUGUUGUCUUUUAAAAUGUCAAAUAUGCCGGGCGCGGUGGCUCACGCCUGUAAUCCCAGCACUUUGGGAGGCCGAGGCUGGUGGAUCACGAGGUCAGGAGUUUGAGACCAGCCUGGCCAACAUGGUGAAACCCCGUCCCUACUAAAAAUACAAAAAUUAGCUGGUCGUGGAGGCGUGUGCCUGUAAUCCCAGCUACUCGGGAGGCUGAGGCAGGAGAAUCGCUUGAACCCGGGAGGCGGAGGUUGCAGUGAGCUGAGAUCGUGCCAUUACACUCCAGCCUGGGCAACAGGGCAAGACUGCGUCUCAAAAAAUAUGUAUAUUUUAAAAAAAAGUCAAGUAUGUAGUAUGUAUAUUUUAAAAAAGCCACCAGUUAUGGAAAUGUGCUUUAACAUCAGUUGAAACCUAAAUUUUCUAAUGUUGUGAUUGUAGUAAAAAGGGAUAAAAGAAGAGUGUCAAACAUGAUGAAAUAUAUUAUACUCAUUUAUAUUGAAGGCAUAUUAAAGACAAAUAGAAAAUUCUACUUUGAGUAUAUAAUUUUUUAAAUAAAUAUUACUUUAUAUGGUAAUUUUUAUGUAUAAUUUCAUAUACUGGUGAAAUUCAAAACCACUUUACACUUCAGAAUUUUUCUAUCUUAAGUUUGGGCUGAGUGGGGUGGAUGAGACUGAUUGAAUAGAAAAGGGCUAAUGGCCCAAACAUUACAUGGAUUUCUUUUCUCAGUCAGAGGCCUUAUUUGAUAUUUUAUAAAUAAAUGACAGUUUUUAUUUUUAAACUUUUUUAUUGUUUUUGGGAAAGUAUCCCUUAAUUUAACGACACAUUCAUUCAGAUACUUUUUAUCCCUGGUAAGAAAGAAAGGAAAUAAGCUACACAAUUGAGAUUAAGUCUGAGGCAGUUCAUUGAGGCAGCUCUACUGUAAAAGAUUACUUGACAGAUAAUUAGUUUUGUAAACAAGUUGGGUUAACUUAUUCUUGGUCUUUUUGCUUGGAUAUGAAUUUAAGGUUUGAUUGUUAUUUAGUGACACUUUUCCAUCCUAUUUUUUUUUUUUGGUUGUUGUUAAACAGAACCUUAACUUUAUGUCUGAGGUAUGUACUGCAUGGGAACCUAUUUUAUUAUUAAAGAUGAGUGAUUAAAA
Molecule: RNA transcript, 3162 nt
Organism: Homo sapiens (human)
Lineage: Eukaryota; Metazoa; Chordata; Mammalia; Primates; Hominidae
Gene name: FGFR1 oncogene partner 2 pseudogene
Exons: 1
Source: RefSeq, marked provisional